UUCUGAAUGAAAAGGAUAAGUGAGUCGAACACUUUCUUUUUGAUUUCAAGGCAAAUCUUCUCCG
This 64-nucleotide transfer RNA is filed under the name Unio crassus. RNAcentral's name for it is "tRNA-Ser". Lineage: Eukaryota; Metazoa; Mollusca; Bivalvia; Unionida; Unionidae. The record is from RNAcentral.